AGAGAGAAAUAUUUACCUUGAAAGUGAAUUACUUUGUUUUGUAAGAUAGGGAAUUAAAAGCUACAGUGAUUCCAAGUAUUCACUCUUUACUUCAAAUUUUUAACCAACCAAUAAUAAUUAGAAUGAGAGUAUUAUAGGAUCAUUUAGUUUGGCUGAGAGCUACAGUCAAAAAAUCCUCAACUAUAUACAUCUCUAAACCUCAGGACAUAUAUGUAGCAAUGAGAGAAAACUGAUGAUGUACAAGAUACCCAUGAAAAGUAGUUUUCCAAACACAAGCUGGUGAAAUCAGCCUGGCUUCACUGACUUCAGUGGAACCAUGCUGAUUUACAUAAGAUUCAAAUCCAGCAUUCAAUGUUCAAUUUAGUAUUGGACAUUCAUCCAAAACAUAGACACAUUUAUCUGGUCUAGAAAUCUGGCAGGAAACAUCAUGGGGCCUGUUACUCCAUAUGAUCUUUUGUACAGCAAGAGCCAAAAAAGCCCUCUGUCAAGCCUUUUCUGUAUCUUUCUCUAAUCUGAGGAAACAAAGUAGAGUGUAAACCAGGGAACAAAGUUAACCAAAUCGUUUCAAAUCUCAAAGGUUUUAUUUUAAUUUUGGGGAUUUAGAGUCAUCUCAUAUUCUGUCUCAACUUGCUGCUUCUCCCUCAUUCCAAGCCUCUUUGAUAUUAAAGUACAACUUCUCACUCUUGUAUAACUAGAUUGAAUUAAGAGUCGCUUAGAUUUCAAGAAUGUCAUACAAUGCCUGGUCUGUGUUCCCUGAAGAUGAAAGGACUGUUGGAACUUGAAAUGUCACUAAGUCUUGCAAGUGAGAUCAACUUUGACCCGACCAUUUCUCCACGUUUUCAAGCAGAAAAAGAAGUUGGUUACAGUCUCAUAUUUCUUAGUCAGAGUAAGCAAGACUGAGAGAAAACAUCACAUAGAAGAGUAGAAGUAAAAACUGAAGCUUUAGUCUGUUGACUAUCUCUAGGGAAAAAAAAAACGUAUUCCUAUUGCUUUCAAAUAUGAUGGCAAAGCUCAUACCUGGAAAUCAUAUUUUUUCAACAUGAAACUCAAAAUAGAUAUCGUAGCUCUUAAAAAACCAGUAACAUUUUUAUAAUUGCUCAAGCAAACAAAUCUGUACAUAAUAAUUGUGUGUAUAAUAAAGUGUGCAUGAAAGAAAAACAUAAAUCAUUAUUGAAGAUACUGAACUCAACACAUGUAGCUGGAUAUAGCCCAUAUGAAUUAAAUAAAACAAAGCUAAAUUACAACUGAAGAUCUGACUCAUUAUUUUUAAUUUAAGGUUCAUGUCUUAGGAUUUCAGACCAUCACUAUAGGAGUGUUCCCGCCUUCUCCCUAAAUACUACACUAAGUAAUUUCCAAGAUGAGUUAUGGGGUAGAAGGGGAGUGUAAGUGCCUUCUGCUAGAACGUCCGAUGCCACCCAUUUUGCUGUGUGGUAUUUCUAAACUGGAUGCAGCAGUGAGCUGAUCCAGUACGACAAAUCCUACACCCUUGUCUUUUCCACGAUUUAGCUUCUCUGCAGAGUAGAAGAAAGGGAGCUGAAUACACAAGAUGCUGCAGCAUGCUGGAGCAUUCUGAUUGUAUUAGAACAUAUUCUAAUCAGAACAUGUUGGAGCAUGUGUAUAGGUGUACUCAGAUCCCAAUCUAAAUCAGCCCAUUUCAGGAAUGAAGUAAGUAGAAAAGGACUGAGACAAAACACAGACUGUAGUAAUCCAUGCCAAAUGACCAAGUAUACAGGAAUUUAAGACAAUAAUAAAGAAAAUAAAUUAGUACACAGUAAUGCAUGCAAGAGCCUACACACAGAUGUGCAGUCUUCUCCCAUGCGAACCUCCACAGCUGGAAUCAAAGUAACUAUGUCAGCCUGGUUUUACUUCCAGCAACAAUCUUUAGGUUUAUGAAAUAUUUCUAAUAUCUUUCUUCAUACAAUAUUAGCACUACAGUGCUGACUACAAAUGCUUGAUCUAGACAUUUUACUGAUGCUUACAGGAAUGACCUAACUCAUUUGGCAGCUUCCUUACUUAAAUGCAACCCUCCAAAACUUAUGCCAGCACAAUGCCUAUAACACAGGGUUGCACAUUUUAAUGUUCUAUUCAACAUUAUCCAGCACGCACACAGAGACACCUGGUGUUGGAAUUUCAAAAGCAUGAAACAUUGGCCGGACUGAUCUCAUUAGCAUCAGUGGAAGCUUUCCCUUUGAUAUUAACAGGAGUACUGUCAGAUCAAUACUGAUUUUCCUGAAAUUCUCCCUUCUCCCCACUGUGUAUUUAGAUGUAUUUUAUACAAUAAAUCCCAAUGCAAGAAAUCAUAAUUUGUCAAAGCUGGAGUCCUACAUAAAGCCCUUAGUUCUAGCUUUACUCUUGAACCAACAAGGAUAAACAUUCAGCCAGCAAUUAGGUUACAUGUUUACAAAAGCAACAUAAUCUUCAUGAUUAUUAGCAAUUUCACAUCAGAGGCUUUAUAUCAAAUUUCUUUCCAGUCUCUGCACCUUAUGACUUUUUUUUGGCAGACUUCCAAUUCCAGUGUCAUUCUGUCUUACCUUCAUCUUUCUCAUCAUUCAUGCAGAUUCUUACCAUUCUUUUCUGUCCCUAGGCUAAAAAUCUGGUUCCUUCACUUUGGCCUCCCUAACUUUUCCUCCUCUGACCUCCUGUAUUUCAAUACCUGUCAAUUGCUAUGGUAUUUUCAGAAUGCAGCAUCUGACAUCACUUUCUUGUUCUGAACCACAAAACCCCUGUCCUCAGGCCCUCAUCUCUCAAGAGCAACCCAUUUACUUCUGCACCUACCUUCUACUCUUUCUCCUCACCUCCAAAACUGCACACUCCUCUAUGUUCUGUGCUUUACAUUUCGAAUCAUUUUUUUACCCAAUCCUGUGUUCUUCUGACUAUUUUCCUAAAUAUUUAAUGUGCUCUCCUCUCACAUUUACCUCCAUCCAUAUGGUUGCUACAUUUGGAGCAGGUUCCUUCCUCUGUGCCAAAACGUUUCCUUCUGAGAAUCUUUUUCUCCCUUUCAGUUUGCUUUCUAAACACUAAUCUCUGCCUUCAUGCAGUCUGCUAUUUGCUUCAUGCCUGUUCCAUUUAAAAAGGGGAAGAGGAAGCAGAAGAAGAAAGAAAGAACUUUAUUUCUCAGAAUACUUUAUAAAUAAUGCUUUCCUCUUUCCACUCAAGUUCUUUUGCCAUUUCUGUUUACAGCUUAAUUUAAUUAGUCAGAUCCUCUGGCCAGAAACCUUGGUUUCAUUCUCAUCUGGAAAGAACCAGGAGCAUCCAGAAUGCCAUAUCAUUAUAUGAAUUUAGAAGUUCCAAGUAAUCUGCAGUGUGCAUCAAAUAUGACACAGUCCGGGCUCUGAAUUCUUGCAUUGCUUGUUAAAGACACACAAUAAAAUGGCAGUAUAUUGUAGCAUCUUCUAAGACUUCAGUUCUGGCCCUCCAUUCUUUUUCUGCCAAGUAACUGCAUAGUAAUGCUGAAAAACUUAAUUUAGUUUUUGGCUAUCUAAAUUGAUUGUGGCCCCAGAGACCUGUAUAAUGAGCCUACAGCUACAUUUUGGGCAUCCACAGGCCUACCUUAUCAAUGGGAUAAGAAACUCCUUGAGCCCAUGAUAUGGGUUUCUGUUUUCAGUAUUUAACAUUUUGAUUGUACCCACACUGAUAGACUCCUGUUUCUUCACAAGGAGGAGCUAUCAAGGUCAUUACAAAUUGGCACCACUGCUGGGACUUGAAGUCCUGUCAACCAUUUGGGAUUAACUUUGCCUAUGAAAUCAUGCAACAUACUGGCUAGCUGUUAUGAUUAUAUCCCAGUGAAGUCAUUUGCUCAUGUUGAGGAUAAGAAUCUGAAGUGUACAGCUAGGAGGAAUCAAUCCUUGGACUCAAGCAGUUGAGGCCUUGUGAUCUUGGUUUCAAAGACCAUAAGUUCUUAUGUUGAUGCUGAAUCUGGUGUCUCUAUUUACGUGGUAAUACAUAUGAUGUAUACACAUCUAUUCUAAAACCAUGCAGAACAGCUUACUCCUGGCACAAACAAUCAAGGAUAAAUAUAUGUAAGGCUAUGACCGUGCCAGGAAGAAUGCCUAUUAAAAAUAUAUAUGGAUCAUAACCCCACGCCAAUCUUUAAUGUCCUGUUAGCACCACAUGUACAAGCAUUAGAGAGUAAACUAGAUUUUCUUUGGGCUCUUGCAACAAUAGAGUUGAUGCAAUAAUAGAAGUCUUGUAACAUCAUCACUGAAUGAGAAGCAGCCAGGUUUUUUUUUGUCUUCAAACUUAGGUGAACUUUUAGGGUUAUUAGAAAAAUCUCUAUUUAUAUUCAUAAAAAAUCUUCAUUCAUAUU
Long non-coding RNA from Gavialis gangeticus (Gharial), 4306 nucleotides. RefSeq lists it as uncharacterized. The record is from RefSeq and is a predicted model, not a curated record. NCBI's taxonomy places the organism in Eukaryota, Metazoa, Chordata, Crocodylia, Gavialidae. The transcript is spliced from 3 exons.